Non-coding RNA from Aegilops tauschii subsp. strangulata, 2102 nucleotides. Lineage: Eukaryota; Viridiplantae; Streptophyta; Magnoliopsida; Poales; Poaceae. The record is from RefSeq and is a predicted model, not a curated record.
AUGCAAGUAGGUAGUAAAUCACACUGGGAUGGCAUGACUAUAAUAACAUCUAGUAUUACCCAAGCUUCGAUUGUUCAGAUGGGAAUGUAUCCAAAAGUAAAUAACAUCCAUAAAAAAAUAACUGGAGCUACUAACUUAUCAAAAACAGGGGAAAACAAAUGCCUAAUCCAUGUAUAUGCUACAAUGAUCUGCCUACACACAUUUUCGUAUCAGUAUUUUUCUAAUAAAACUGCUAGGAAUGUGUGGGCCAGAGAAGCAGGAGGGAGCAAUCUGACCUACACAAGAAGCUCGCUGCAUUUGGGAGCCUCGUCCUGCUCCUGCAGAAGGCGCGUAAAGGGUGAGCUCGCUACAGGAAGAGGCGUCGGCUGUUGUGGAGGAGAUCGGGGCUCGCCGCGUUCCGCCAGCUACUUCCUUGGCAGCAACGAUGACCGGGGAGGAGUGAGGCGAGGGCACUGGCUAGAGACCAGUAGUUGCUUCUGGCGGCUCGAGACGGGCCUAGAGCAGAGGGAGGCGAGGGGGUGGCGGAGGACCGGUGCGAAGGCACGGGGAAGCGACGUUGUUUUCGCCAUGGACAACCGCAUCACCCCGCCCAGCGUCUCUGGCCACCUCUCCGUCUGCCUCGUGCUCCCCCUCCUCGAUCCCUCCGCCCCCCCGUCGGAUCCACGCCGGAGCAGCCGGAUCCGCGGCCUCCUGCCUCACCUGCCGUCGGGAAGAGGACGACCGAGAGGAGCGCCGUCCGCUGCUGUCCCGAACUCUGAUUCCGCACUCGCCCAACCUACAACGGUGACAGGGGGCGCGAUAGGAGGUGGCGGCGGCAGGGGGCGCGGGGCGGGGCAGGAGGCGGCGGCGGCGGGGACGGGCGGCGCGGGAGGUGAAGAUGGGAUCGAGGAGGCAGUGUCGUACGGCUGGGCUAAUUUUUUUUCUUUUCUCUCCUCCAUACCGGUUCGGCCUGACUUAUGACGAGGACUGCGGGUUGAAUACCCAAACUAUAGGGUUUUUUUGCAAAAUUAAUGACGACGUACGACCAGAAGCAAUAGCUGGUUUAUUAGUAGGCAGAGAUGGUUUAUUAGUAGGCAGAGAUAUACUCCCUCCGUCCUGAAAAACAUGUCGCAACGGUAUUUUUAUGAAAAAGUCCUUCAGGUUUAUCCGACCGAACCCGCAGUCCAAUCGUCUCCUCCGCCAGCUCGCUCAGUUCCACUAGCUCCCCCGCAACGCCGGCGACCUCGCGUAGCUCAAGCACACCGCGCCGCCGCGCAGCUCCACCGCAACCCCGCGCGGAUCCACCUCUACCCCGUGCAGCUCCACCGCUCCCCCGCGCAGCUCCCCCGCUCCCCUUUCCCGCAUCCCUAAAUUUCCAAGCUUUCCCCCAUCCCCUUCCGGAAAAUCGGCGCUUGCUGCCCGUCGAUUCUCCACUACCACCACCAAUCCCGGCCACCGUCGAGAGGGGAGAGCAGGAGGAGGAAAAGGUCACUGGCGCCGGCAAGAUAGGGAAGAGCAGGAGGAGAAAAAGGGACCAGACGAGUGGCAGCGGGUGGUGGCGAUGCACGGCACGGUCACUGGAGAGGCGUCUGCGGCGGAGCUCGUCGGCGUCGCGUAUGCCAGGGCGUCGAAGCCGACCAACGCGUUCGCCGCCUCGUCUCCUGGAGCGGGCGGCCACAACUACAAGGGCGCCUCCGCGUCCGCCGUGCUGGCCCGCCUAGCCGGCGGCAACAGGUGGCACCAGGACGACGACGGCGGUAAAAUGGAUGAAUUGCAGGAGGUUAGCCGUCCACAUCCCUGUGCCUCUGUUGGUGAACAUCGUGGAGUAAUGUUGUUAAGUUAUCUGCUGCUGUUUGUUGUCCUGUUAAUUUCAGAAAGAAUUCCAAUCCAUCAUGGUGUGCGCAUGCAGUUAAUUGAUCUCCACACAAGCAUGGCCAUCCACCAACAUGCAAAACAAGUUCAAGACCAAAAAUAUGUGUUUCUUGCUGUUUACUCAACUGAACCAGAUUUGGGUAUUCAAGUUCCAAGGUUUCUGCUAACAGCAUACAGAUUAAAUUGAAAAGCUGGAUUCAUCUAAAUCAUGGACAGUUCAAAACCAAUUAUUUCCAAACCAAUUAUUUCUA